AUUGAACGCUGGCGGCAGGCAUAACCCAUGCAAGUCGAACGAGUAGCGGACGGGUGAGUAAGGUCUGGGAAACUGCCUGAUGGAGGGGGAUAACUACUGGAAACGGUCGCUACUACCGCAUACCAUGGGAUGGGGCCAGAUGGGAUUAGCUAGUAGGUGGGGUAAAGGUUCACCUAGGCGACGAUCCCUAGCUGGUCUGAGAGGAUGACCGGCCACACUGGAACUGAGACACGGUCCAGACUCCGACGGGAGGCAGCAGUGGGGAAUAUUGCACAAUGGGCGCAAGCCUGAUGCAGCCAUGCCGCGUGUAUGAAGAAGGCCUUCGGGUUGGAAAGUACUUUCAGCGGGGAGGCGUUACCCGCAGAAGAAGCACCGGCUAACUCCGUGCCAGCAGCCGCGGUAAUUC
RNAcentral lists this ribosomal RNA (406 nucleotides) under uncultured bacterium. Its description in RNAcentral is "partial 16S ribosomal RNA". It matches the Rfam family "Bacterial small subunit ribosomal RNA", at positions 29 to 526 of the family's 1533-position model. The record is from RNAcentral.